This is a long non-coding RNA of Sinocyclocheilus rhinocerous, 199 nucleotides long. RefSeq lists it as uncharacterized. Lineage: Eukaryota; Metazoa; Chordata; Actinopteri; Cypriniformes; Cyprinidae. The transcript is spliced from 3 exons. The record is from RefSeq and is a predicted model, not a curated record.
GAGCUGGAUGGGGAGAAUAUAAACAAUUCCAGCUGAAAGUGAUUAAAGCUCCACAGAAAACAAGGCCUGUCCAGAUCUCAACAUCCACCCUCCAUCCAGAUCAAACUCUGAGCUCAUUUUCAAACACGUCGCCUCAUUUGAGCACAUCCGACACGAAGCCUCAAUCCAGCACCAUCACGAUCACAGACCAUCACAUCUC